This is a non-coding RNA of Hypoxylon sp. FL1284, 99 nucleotides long. NCBI's taxonomy places the organism in Eukaryota, Fungi, Ascomycota, Sordariomycetes, Xylariales, Hypoxylaceae. The record is from the annotation of a GenBank genome assembly.
GGCCAUGUGGCGCAGUGGUUAAAGCGCCUGGCCGCGUAUAGUCCGUACGCGAUUACUCGAUUUUCUCCAUAUGAGUGGGUUCGAGUCCCACCGUGGUUU